This 497-nucleotide ribosomal RNA is filed under the name uncultured bacterium. RNAcentral's name for it is "partial 16S ribosomal RNA". It matches the Rfam family "Bacterial small subunit ribosomal RNA", at positions 28 to 507 of the family's 1533-position model. The record is from RNAcentral.
GAUGAACGCUGGCGGCGUGCCUAAUACAUGCAAGUCGAGCGAACGGACGAGAAGCUUGCUUCUCUGAUGUUAGCGGCGGACGGGUGAGUAACACGUGGAUAACCUACCUAUAAGACUGGGAUAACUUCGGGAAACCGGAGCUAAUACCGGAUGAUAUUUUGAACCGCAUGGUUCAAAAGUGAAAGACGGUCUUGCUGUCACUUAUAGAUGGAUCCGCGCUGCAUUAGCUAGUUGGUAAGGUAACGGCUUACCAAGGCAACGAUGCAUAGCCGACCUGAGAGGGGGAUAGGCCACACUGGAGCUUAGACGCGGUCCAGACUCCUACGGGAGGCAGCAGUAGGGAAUCUUCCGCAGUGGGCGAAAGCCUGACGGAGCAACGCCGCGUGAGUGAUGAAGGUCUUCGGAUCGUAAAACUCUGUUAUUAGGGAAGAACAUAUGUGUAAGUAACUGUGCACAUCUUGACGGUACCUAAUCAGAAAGCCACGGCUAACUACGUG